AUUGAACGCUGGCGGCAGGCCUAACACAUGCAAGUCGAGCGGAUGAAGGGAGCUUGCUCCUGGAUUCAGCGGCGGACGGGUGAGUAAUGCCUAGGAAUCUGCCUGGUAGUGGGGGGUAACGUCCGGAAACGGGCGCUAAUACCGCAUACGUCCUGAGGGAGAAGGUGGGGGAUCUUCGGACCUCACGCUAUCAGAUGAGCCUAGGUCGGAUUAGCUAGUUGGUGGGGUAAGGGCCUACCAAGGCGACGAUCCGUAACUGGUCUGAGGGGAGGAUCGGUCCCCGUGAAAGUGAGCCACGACCCAGACCCUGAGGGGAGGCAGCGGCGGCGAAUAUUGGCAAAUGGGGGAAAGCUUGAACAAGCCGUGCAGGGCUGGUGAAGAAGGUCUUCGUAUUGGAAAGCACUUUACGUUGGGAGAAAGGCCAUUAAGUUAAACCAUGCCUGUUUGACGGUAACAAGCAGAGAAGCACCGGCUAACUUCGUG
Molecule: ribosomal RNA, 483 nt
Filed under: uncultured bacterium
Lineage: Bacteria
Description: partial 16S ribosomal RNA
Rfam family: Bacterial small subunit ribosomal RNA
Source: RNAcentral